UGCUUAACACAUGCGAGUUCGAAUUAAUAGUUUUUAAAACAGAUAUUAAUAGCGUACGGGUGAGUAAUGCAUAAGAAUUUACCUUACAUUUUAGAAAUUUAAAUCUAUAAGGAUUAUAAUUGAAUAAAUAUAUUUAAAUAUAAUGCAAAAAUUAAUAUUGGUGUAAGAUAAGCUUAUGUAAAAUUAGAUAGUUGGUAAGGUAAUGGCUUACCAAGUCUACGAUUUUUAGCUGGUCUUAGCGGAUGAUCAGCCACAUUGGGACUGAAACAUGGCCCAACCUCUUUUUGGAGGCAGCAGUGAGGAAUAUUGGACAAUGAACGAAAGUUUGAUCCAGCAAUACUACGUGAAUGAAGAAGGUUUAUAUUUAUUGUAAAGUUCUUUCGAUGAGGAGGAUAAUGACGUUACUCAUAAAAGAAGUCCCGACUAACCUCGUGCCAGCAGUCGCGGUAAUACGGGGGGGGCAAGCGUUAUUCUACGUUACUGGGUGUAAAGAGUAUUAAGGCGGUUUAGUAAGUUUUUUUUAAAAUCUUAAAAUUCAAUUUUAAAACUAAUUGUAAAUACUGCUAAACUUUGAGUAUAAUAGAAGAUUGU
This 591-nucleotide ribosomal RNA is filed under the name uncultured bacterium. RNAcentral describes it as "partial 16S ribosomal RNA". It matches the Rfam family "Bacterial small subunit ribosomal RNA", at positions 45 to 662 of the family's 1533-position model. The record is from RNAcentral.